AUGCAAGUCUUUAAGCUACCAAAACAGAUUUGUAAUGCAAUAACAACUGCUAUGUCACAGUACUGGUGGGGAGAUGAGGAUGACAAGAAGCAUAUGCACUGGUUUGCGUGGUGGAAAAUGUGUGUGCCAAAGAGCAAUGGAGGUAUGGGUUUUAGAGAUGUACACUGCUUCAAUCUGGCGCUCCUAGCAAAGCAGUGCUGGAGAUUGUUAGCAGAACCUGAUUCUUUGUGUGCCAGAGUAUUAAGGGCAAAAUAUUUCCCGGACGGUGAUCUGCUGAACUGUCCUCUCAAGAAAGGCAGUUCUUAUACAUGGCAAAGCUUGUGGAGUGGUAUUCAGACUUUCAAAAAAGGUUAUAUAUGGAGAGUGGGAGAUGGCACUCAAAUAAGUAUCUGGAGUGAUCCUUGGAUACCCAGCAGCCCAAACAGAAAGGUAAUGACUCCAUGA
Molecule: ribosomal RNA, 444 nt
Filed under: Triticum aestivum (bread wheat)
Lineage: Eukaryota; Viridiplantae; Streptophyta; Magnoliopsida; Poales; Poaceae
Description: partial small subunit ribosomal RNA
Source: RNAcentral